UUCAGUUUGCACUAACCUGCGCUGCAACUCUUAUAUCAGAAUUAAUAUUCAGAGGUAGAGAGGGCGUUCCUCUCUCCCCCUCCCCCCCUUCAUACUUCGUCUCUCUGCGUCCUGAGAGCUCGGAGUAGAGAAGCAAGCUAGAGAUGAAGACCUCGCCAACCCCCCUGGAAAGGUCGUACUCGUUUAUUUGUCAUUUUAUUGUGAAAUAAAUGAUUGUACAAAUUUA
Long non-coding RNA from Eurytemora carolleeae, 226 nucleotides. RefSeq lists it as uncharacterized. Lineage: Eukaryota; Metazoa; Arthropoda; Copepoda; Calanoida; Temoridae. The record is from RefSeq and is a predicted model, not a curated record. The transcript has 2 exons.